AUGGCGACCGGCGCACGGGUGAGUAACACGUAUCCAACCUGCCGAUAACUCGGGGAUAGCCUUUUGAAAGAAAGAUUAAUACCCGAUGGUAUAAUUAGACCGCAUGGUCUUGUUAUUAAAGAAUUUCGGUUAUCGAUGGGGAUGCGUUCCAUUAGGCAGUUGGUGAGGUAACGGCUCACCAAACCUUCGAUGGAUAGGGGUUCUGAGAGGAAGGUCCCCCACAUUGGAACUGAGACACGGUCCAA
This 245-nucleotide ribosomal RNA is filed under the name uncultured bacterium. RNAcentral's name for it is "partial 16S ribosomal RNA". It matches the Rfam family "Bacterial small subunit ribosomal RNA", at positions 88 to 334 of the family's 1533-position model. The record is from RNAcentral.